Molecule: ribosomal RNA, 497 nt
Filed under: uncultured bacterium
Lineage: Bacteria
Description: partial 16S ribosomal RNA
Rfam family: Bacterial small subunit ribosomal RNA
Source: RNAcentral
GAUGAACGCUGGCGGCGUGCCUAAUACAUGCAAGUCGAGCGAACGGACGAGAAGCUUGCUUUUCUGAUGUUAGCGGCGGACGGGUGAGUAACACGUGGAUAACCUACCUAUAAGACUGGGAUAACUUCGGGAAACCGGAGCUAAUACCGGAUAAUAUUUUGAACCGCAUGGUUUAAAAGUGAAAGACGGUCUUGCUGUCACUUAUAGAUGGAUCCGCGCUGCAUUAGCUAGUUGGUAAGGUAACGGUUUACCAAGGCAACGAUGCAUAGCCGACCUGAGAGGGUGAUCGGCCACACUGGAACUGAGACACGGUCCAGACUCCUACGGGAGGCAGCAGUAGGGAAUCUUCCGCAAAGGGCGAAAGCCUGACGGAGCAACGCCGUGUGAGUGAUGAAGGUCUUCGGAUCGUAAAACUCUGUUAUUAGGGAAGAACAUAUGUGUAAGUAACUGUGCACAUCUUGACGGUACCUAAUCAGAAAGCCACGGCUAACUACGUG